RNAcentral lists this unclassified non-coding RNA (212 nucleotides) under plant metagenome. RNAcentral describes it as "partial contains small subunit ribosomal RNA, internal transcribed spacer 1, and 5.8S ribosomal RNA". The record is from RNAcentral.
UCUCCGUUGGUGAACCAGCGGAGGGGUCAUUACAGGAUCGAAAGACUCCUAUAACCCCUGUGAACUUACUACAAAUACGUUGCUUCGGCGGGUGCCCCGGGUCUCCCGGGGCGUUCAGCCCGCCGGCAGCCUUCAAAUUCUGUUUCUUUGCGUUGGCAUCUCGAGUAUACAAAAAUAAGUUAAAACUUUCAACAACGGAUCUCUUGGUUCUG